RNAcentral lists this small nucleolar RNA (106 nucleotides) under Gossypium hirsutum (cotton). RNAcentral's name for it is "Plant small nucleolar RNA R71". It matches the Rfam family "Plant small nucleolar RNA R71". From Rfam's summary of the family: R71 is a member of the C/D box family of snoRNAs containing the C (UGAUGA) and D (CUGA) box motifs. Lineage: Eukaryota; Viridiplantae; Streptophyta; Magnoliopsida; Malvales; Malvaceae. The record is from Rfam by way of RNAcentral.
AUCACAUGAUGAGGACACUUACGACGUAUUCCUUGAAUCGCUCCCAAGCCUUAUACAAAGUCUCGUCAUCCAAUUGCUGGAAAGUUGUGAUCUCAUUCCUUAACUU